UUUCCGUAGGUGAACCUGCGGAAGGAUCAUUCAUAAUAAGUGUUUUAUGGCACUUUUUUAAAUCCAUAUCCACCUUGUGUGCAAUGUCAGGGUUGAUUUUUCUCUCGAGAGGAUCAGCCCCAAACAUCAACUAUAUCUCAACUCUUUGUCUAAAAAUAUUAUGAAUAAAACAAUUCAAAAUACAACUUUCAACAACGGAUCUCUUGGCUCUC
RNAcentral lists this unclassified non-coding RNA (212 nucleotides) under plant metagenome. Its description in RNAcentral is "partial contains small subunit ribosomal RNA, internal transcribed spacer 1, and 5.8S ribosomal RNA". The record is from RNAcentral.